Pseudophryne corroboree (corroboree frog) is the source of this 691-nucleotide long non-coding RNA. RefSeq lists it as uncharacterized. Lineage: Eukaryota; Metazoa; Chordata; Amphibia; Anura; Myobatrachidae. The record is from RefSeq and is a predicted model, not a curated record. The transcript is spliced from 3 exons.
CAGGAGAUCGUUUGGGAGAGCAUGAGGAGUGAAGGGAAAGGGGCCCCUGCGCAUGCUGUGACAGUUAGUCCCCCACAAACGGUACCUGUGAGAGACGCAGCAUCCCGACGGGCAGCUCCAGUGACAGAGCAGAAAGCGGGGUACGGAGACGCUGGCAGAGAGGUAGUCUCGGUGACAGUGAGGCUGGAGAACGCUGCAGGCAGACAAAUAGCCCCUGGCGGAGAGGCAGUCCCGGUGACGGCGAGGUUGGAGAGCCAGAGAGCUGUGCAGUAGAGGCGCAGGCAACCAGAAUAAGAGGGAGAACGGUGAGGAGUGAGAUCCUGUCAGUGCUGAGGACUCACUGAUUGGUACAAGAACUACAAUAAGAGGUACCUACACUAUCUGUCUUACAAUAAUCAGACAGAGGGGGUGGAGAAGCAGAGCGUAGAGGAACAAGAGGAACAGGAGGAGUCGGGGGAGCUACCAGAGGUGGGAAUGUUUGUUGGAACGGUCUAAAGAAUUUAUUGACGCUGAUAACACAACUAUAGUUGUACAAUAAAGCUGUUAUACUUACCACUGCCUGACUCUUCUGCUAGGGGACCCGACAGGCCUAAUGGAGAGAAAACAGGUGGGAAUGUUUGUUGGAACGGUCUAAAGAAUUUAUUGACGCUGAUAACCCAACUAUAGUUGUACAAUAAAGCUGUUAUACUUA